RNAcentral lists this unclassified non-coding RNA (321 nucleotides) under uncultured Aspergillus. Its description in RNAcentral is "sequence contains ITS1". The stretch from base 1 to 105 matches the Rfam family "5.8S ribosomal RNA", at positions 50 to 154 of the family's 154-position model. The record is from RNAcentral. Lineage: Eukaryota; Fungi; Ascomycota; Eurotiomycetes; Eurotiales; Aspergillaceae.
GAAAUGCGAUACGUAAUGUGAAUUGCAGAAUUCAGUGAAUCAUCGUGUCUUUGAAUGCACAUUGCGCCCUCUGGUAUCCCGGGGGGCAUGCCUGUCCGAGCGUCAUUGCUGCCCUCAAGCACGGCUUGUGUGUUGGGCCCCCCCCGUCCCGGUUCUCCAGCCGGGUCGGGCCCGAAAGGCAGCGGCGGCACCGUAUCCGGUCCUCGAGUGUAUGGGGCCCUGUCACCCACUCGUGUAGGCCCGGCCGGCGGCCCGCCUCUUCAAACAAACUUCUUUAACCAGGUUGACCUCGGAUCAGGUAGGGAGAACCGCUGAACUUAA